AAAGUAUCUUACAGCUGGGCUACAAGUGACAUUGAAAUUGUUAUGAUACAUAAAAUAAUAUUUCACCAAUCAUUUUGUACUUGAGGAAUAAAAAAAAUAAGCAAGUGUCUUGUACAUUUUGUAACUGCAAGUUAUUUUUAAGACCUGAACUAUGUUUUAAUAUUAGUAAUAUUAUUUUUCUGUUUGGUUUUGAGAUAUUAAGUUUGCUUAGCUUUCUUUGAAUGUGCCUUUUGAGCUGAAAACACAGUUCAGAUGUACGUAAUUUAAUUUUUCUGUUGCAUCUAUUUCCUCAGGUAACUGUUUUUAUUCGAAUACAGAACAAAAGGAGAAAACAAUCUGUGAAAUGAGCCUGCAUGAGAUAAUGUCCUCUACUCUGUAGUUCACUUUUUCAUUUUCCUCUAGAGUAAAAAUGAAAUUUUUUAAGUAUGGGAAAUAAAGCCACAUACAAAUUUUGCAUCUUUAAAUAUAUAUAUAUAUAUUGUUACAUUGUAUCUUGUAGAACUGGAGAGGGCUUCCUUUGUAUUUCUUUUAAGAGGUGAAUAAAUUAGAGAAGUGGAAGUGUUAGAGCACUUGCAGAACCUUGGCUAUGUAUUAUAUGAGAUUCUUUAAGAUUCCACUUUGAAAGUUCAUGGUGAAAGAUGUGACAGAAGGGAAUCACAACUUUUAUGAAAUCACUAAUGUAAGGACUGAUAAAUUGCUUCAGAGAUGUAUUACAAAAUAAGCAAAACAAAAUUUUGAAAAAAAAAAACGUAAUAUAAACACUGCAGUUGAUACUGAGGAGAUUUUUAUGGGAAAUGUAUGCAAUUUUAUCUAAACCAUUUGUUCCAGGCAAUAAGUCUCUAUUGAAAUGAUCUCAUAGGUUGUAUUCAUUGCCUUUCUUCUUUCACAGUGAUGCAAUGAACAGUGGGAUUUCUCCUGAUGGACAGGAGAUGGACAUUGUAACAUAUCCAGUGGGAUUUGGUAGUUGUUGAAAUAAUUGUAUUCUAAUUUCAUUUCUGUUUCAGGAAAAAAAAAAAUAACCAGAAAAUCCAUUCACACACACAGAAAAA
Molecule: long non-coding RNA, 1049 nt
Organism: Cygnus olor (mute swan)
Lineage: Eukaryota; Metazoa; Chordata; Aves; Anseriformes; Anatidae
Exons: 2
Source: RefSeq, a predicted model, not a curated record